UGGGGAAUAUUGCACAAUGGGCGCAAGCCUGAUGCAGCAACGCCGCGUGAACGAUGAAGGUCUUCGGAUCGUAAAGUUCUGUUGCAGGGGAAGAUAAUGACGGUACCCUGUGAGGAAGCCCCGGCUAACUACGUGCCAGCAGCCGCGGUAAUACGUAGGGGGCUAGCGUUAUCCGGAUUUACUGGGCGUAAAGGGUGCGUAGGUGGUCUUUCAAGUCGGUGGUUAAAGGCUACGGCUCAACCGUAGUUAGCCUCCGAAACUGGAAGACUUGAGUGCAGGAGAGGUAAGUGGAAUUCCCAGUGUAGCGGUGAAAUGCGUAGAUAUUGGGAGGAACACCAGUAGCGAAGGCGGCUUUCUGGACUGCAACUGACACUGAGGCACGAAAGCGUGGGUAGCAAACAGG
RNAcentral lists this ribosomal RNA (403 nucleotides) under Verrucomicrobiota bacterium. RNAcentral describes it as "Verrucomicrobia bacterium partial 16S ribosomal RNA". It matches the Rfam family "Bacterial small subunit ribosomal RNA", at positions 355 to 776 of the family's 1533-position model. Lineage: Bacteria; Pseudomonadati; Verrucomicrobiota. The record is from RNAcentral.